GAUGAACGCUAGCGGCAGGCUUAAUACAUGCAAGUCGAGGGGCAGCAUGACUGUAGCAAUACAGUUGAUGGCGACCGGCAAACGGGUGCGGAACACGUACAGAACCUUCCUUCGAGCGGGGAAUAGCCCAGAGAAAUUUGGAUUAAUACCUCGUAACAUUAUGAAGUGGCAUCACUUUAUAAUUAUAGCUCCGGCGGUUG
This 200-nucleotide ribosomal RNA is filed under the name uncultured bacterium. RNAcentral describes it as "partial 16S ribosomal RNA". It matches the Rfam family "Bacterial small subunit ribosomal RNA", at positions 28 to 221 of the family's 1533-position model. The record is from RNAcentral.